RNAcentral lists this ribosomal RNA (292 nucleotides) under uncultured Acinetobacter sp. RNAcentral describes it as "partial 16S ribosomal RNA". It matches the Rfam family "Bacterial small subunit ribosomal RNA", at positions 505 to 796 of the family's 1533-position model. Lineage: Bacteria; Pseudomonadati; Pseudomonadota; Gammaproteobacteria; Moraxellales; Moraxellaceae. The record is from RNAcentral.
GUGUCAGCCGCCGCGGUAAUACAGAGGGUGCGAGCGUUAAUCGGAUUUACUGGGCGUAAAGCGUGCGUAGGCGGCUGAUUAAGUCGGAUGUGAAAUCCCUGAGCUUAACCUAGGAAUUGCAUUCGAUACUGGUCAGCUAGAGUAUGGGAGAGGAUGGUAGAAUUCCAGGUGUAGCGGUGAAAUGCGUAGAGAUCUGGAGGAAUACCGAUGGCGAAGGCAGCCAUCUGGCCUAAUACUGACGCUGAGGUACGAAAGCAUGGGGAGCAAACAGGAUUAGAUACCCUCGUAGUCC